This 2424-nucleotide small RNA is filed under the name Pan troglodytes (chimpanzee). RNAcentral describes it as "retained intron". The record is from RNAcentral. Lineage: Eukaryota; Metazoa; Chordata; Mammalia; Primates; Hominidae.
AUUGAAAGAACAGAUAUUUGAAGCAUCCCAGCACACCUGACCUUAAUGCCAGGAACUGGAGUGCUUGAAGGAGCUGCAGACAGAUUAGCAGCUGGUAAUCCAUUAAAAUGGAUAAAAACACUUGGAAGCUCUGUGAUUUCAAUGAAGAUUGUGCUUUUAAUCUGUGUUAUUUGUAUAGUCUGCAGAUGUGGAUCCUGACUCUGCAAGAAGUAGCUCACCGUAACAAAGCUGCCUUUGCUUUUAUCACUUUGCAAAACAAAUAAAGGGGACACGUUGGGAACAGGCCCCCCAAUGUGGCCAUAAACUGUCCCCAAAACUGGCCAUAAACAAAAUCUCUGCAGCACUCUGACAUGCUCUUGAUGGCCAUGAUGCCCACGCUGGAAGGUUGUCGGUUUACUGGAAUGAGGGCAAGGGACACCUGGCCCACCCAGGGUGGAAAACUGUUUAAGGCAUUCUUAAACCACAAACAAUAGCAUGAGCGAUCUGUGCCUUAAGGACAUUUUCCUGCUGCAGAUAACUAGCCAGAGCCCAUCCCUUUGUUUCCCCGUAAGGAAUACUUUUAGUAAAUCUUAUCACUGGCUUGCUGUCAAUAAAUAUGUGGGUAAAUCUCUGUUCGAGGCUCUCAGCUCUGAAGGCUGUGAGACCCCUGACUUCCCACUUCACAUGCUGUAUUUCUGUGUGUGUGUCUUUAAUUCCUCUAGCACCACUGGGUUAGGGUCUCCACAACCGAGCUGGUCUUGGCAGUAAAUACUGAAAAGGAAUAGAUACAAUUGCCAUUAUUUACAGAUAGAAUUUCCAAACAAUUCCCAGGGAAUAAACUGAAAAACUAACAGAAACAAAACAAGAAUGUAGUAAGGUGUCUGGAUAAGAGAUUUGUAUCUAAAAAUCAGUAGCUUUACAAUGUGCCAGCAGUAGUCUGCUCAGACAUCAGUAAAUAUCUCAUUCACAUUUCAAAAAAAAUUGAAAAUGCCCUGAAAUAAUGUAACCAGAAAUACGAAAAAAAGGAUAUGAAAACGUGGCUGCUAAUGGACAUGAAAAAAUGUAAUACUAGAUUCUGAGAUGCAAUUUUUUUCAUUUGUUCUUCCUGAAAAAUCAUUAGGUUGAUGUGCAUUACAGUGUUACGAUUAUGUAUGAGUCUAAGGAAAAUCAGAUGAAAUUUCCAAAUUAAACCAUGAAGGUGCAUUGGUAGAGGAAGAGACAAUUAGGGUCAGUGGAGCAAAGCACAGUUAGAGGGAGAAGCAAGGAGGAGGAGGGAUCACUGAGGUGGUGCCUCUCUGUCCCACAGGAAGCAAAAGCUGACGCCUAGUUCCCAGCAUACCUAAGUAAACUUCAGGUCCACUGCAUAGCAUGUCUCAUCACAGUAAAACUAUGAAGGAACUCAGUGUACAAGGAGCUUCUACAAGAUAGGCAGAAGACAGUAGCCAGAUGGGCCAAGGGCCCCAGCCACCCACGCCCCUCCCUCUCCUUGAAGACGUGCGGCUCCAACACCACCAUCACCAGGGCUCUGCUCAGCUCCUCCUAGUGUGUAUCACCACAGGGCUGCUGGCUUGUGUCACGUUCACCACCAGACCCCGCGUCAGGAGUCCCGCCAGGGGUGUGGGGAGGCAGCGCUGCCUGGUUGGCCGCGGAGCUGUAUGGAACAUGGUGCCUCACAGGCAGUCUGCUUGGCGUCCUGGACCCUGGCUGUAUCCCGCUGGAAAGGAUGUGUGUGGGUCUAAGAUGUUCAAUGCAAAAUCAUGCUGCCGUGUUCCGUGUGGGAAGCGUGUUGCAAGAAGGUUGUGGGAAAAUCAGCAAGCUCUAUGGAGACCUAAAGCACCUGAAGACGUUCGACCGGGGAAUGGUCUGGAACACGGACCUGGUGGAGACCCUGGAGCUGCAGAACCUGAUGCUGUGUGCGCUGCAGACCAUCUACGGAGCAGAGGCGCGGAAGGAGUCACGGGGCGUGCAUGCCAGGGAAGACUACAAGGUGCGGAUUGAUGAGUACGAUUACUCCAAGCCCAUCCAGGGGCAACAGAAGAAGCCCUUUGAGGAGCACUGGAGAAAGCACACCCUGUCGUAUGUGGACGUUGGCACUGGGAAGGUCACUCUGGAAUAUAGACCCGUAAUCGACAAAACUUUGAACGAGGCUGACUGUGCCACCGUCCCGCCAGCCAUUCGCUCCUACUGAUGAGACAAGAUGUGGUGAUGACAGAAUCAGCUUUUGUAAUUAUGUAUAAUAGCUCAUGCAUGUGUCCAUGUCAUAACUGUCUUCAUACGCGUCUGCACUCUGGGGAAGAAGGAGUACAUUGAAGGGAGAUUGGCACCCAGGCUGGGAGCUUGCCAGGAACCCAGUGGCCAGGGAGCGUGGCAGUUACCUUUGUCCCUUGCUUCAUUCUUGUGAGAUGAUAAAACUGGGCACAGCUCUUAAAUAAAAUAUAAAUGAAC